Molecule: non-coding RNA, 698 nt
Organism: Styela clava
Lineage: Eukaryota; Metazoa; Chordata; Ascidiacea; Stolidobranchia; Styelidae
Source: RefSeq, a predicted model, not a curated record
UAUUACAUUCCGAUGUCCACCAUCUUGGUUCGCAUACUUCGGGAGCCCCGCAAUUUCUUUACAUAUAAUUUUUUGUAAUUUGUAUGUCGAGUGUGCUUUUGAAAAAAUAAACUACUGAUUACUGAUAUAUCCAGAGGAUGUUUUAGAUUAGUUUGUUAUUCUGCCUAUAUAAUACAACCUAUUUUUUCUUUGUCUCAAUAAAAGUAGUUUAUAUUGAAAUAUCCAUAUAUCCACUGUUGGUCAUAAUUUUGUAUUCAAAUUUAUUAAUUUAGAAUAAAAUUCAACACUUCUCAACUGUACAAUCUUAGGUAAACAUCUUCUUAAUUGUUUUCACUUUAUCGUUGCUGUAUAUGUCACUAUUGGCCAGCAUUUGUUUUUACUUAUUGUUGACUGUUUGUAUUUUGGUUGACAAAAUACUGAAUAUCCCUCUCUCUAUCAUUGUAGGAGAAUAAAGUUCAACACCCCUGAGAAACAUCAUUUUAAUGUUUUUCACUUCAUUUUUUUUACUUUUAUCUUUGUUAUAUAUGUCACUAUUGGCCAUUAUGAAUUCAGUUUAAAAUUCAACACUCCUCUGCCUUCAUUGUAUUUUUCAUUUCGUUUCACUGUAUAUAUUCACUUUGAUUUCACAUAUGCAUGUUACGAAUUUUUACCUUCCAUGGUUAAAAGUAUUGUUUACAAUAAAGUGAAUUAUAACCUGG